Molecule: long non-coding RNA, 945 nt
Organism: Setaria italica (foxtail millet)
Lineage: Eukaryota; Viridiplantae; Streptophyta; Magnoliopsida; Poales; Poaceae
Exons: 3
Source: RefSeq, a predicted model, not a curated record
AAUUGCAAAAAAAAAAAAAAAGAAAAAGAAAGAAAACCUCACUCCUAAUGGUUUGUGGUAUGCUGUUUCACUAACCAAUUCUUUGGAGUAGUUCCAUCAUCGUUCCUAUGAUUUGCAAUAAGGAAAACGUUUUUCUUCAUCUAUGGAAAAUCGGUUGGAAGCUAGCGUGGUGUUUUUCAGUACAGCCCAUUAGUUGUGCACAAAAUUUCUACACCAAUCCAAGAAGCUGCAGUACGUGCCUGUCCUCGGCGACUGACUUUUGAUGCUUCGCGAUGAAGUCGUCCCAUUAGAUGGCGAUUAUUACAGUUAAAUCGCAUCUCCCUGGCCGGCAAGGCAACCAUGCUUUCACAGCAUCGAAGUGGCUGCUUUCAAGCUGCAGAAGAAAUGUCCAGGAUAUGUCUAUCUGGUAUGAGAACUUUGAAUUCUGGUGCACCAGUGAAUGACGAUUGGACAUUUGGACCUUGUUCUUUCUCCAGCAGUGCCUUUCAUAGCAUUCUUGCACUCAAAGCUGUCAAUACAGCAAUCCACGUCAGGACAUCUCUUUCAGAUUUUUUAACAGACUGUAAAGCAUAUACCGGUAUCAUUCUUCGAGCUGGGCGACGUGAAGAUUGUGGCCGAAACUUCUGUGCAUUGGAAGCUCCAUGGGAGUUACUCACGGUCAUGGCGUUGAACAGAUAGACAAACGAUUCGAUUCCAAAUGCAAGGCACCACAAAUAGUUCCUGAUUGCUGGCUUCAGAGGAUCCAUCCCAGUUGCUUUCGUCACGCGCAAUUCCUUUUUGGGUGGGACUUUGACAAACCUGGGCACUGGACACGCCUUUCAAACGAAGAUCUUUUUUUGUCUACCUCGAUGACGUUCUGCCAUAAAAAAGUGGACAUUACUGAUGGAAGGUCAUUACGACUUCAUGGCUAAUUACCUCAGGUACUACUUUUGACACUUCUCUUUU